UGAGUUGCUCUGACAGUACCCAGUUUUUAUUUCAGUGCACCAUAACGUAUAAUAACGUACUGGAAAGUCACGCUUUUACUCCUAAAGAGCGUACUUGUUUUCUCCCAUGUCUUCAUUCUUCCGCUGGGAGGGUACAGCCUCGAGCUUCCUGCUGCGUGGCGGAAGGAGGCGCCGCGUCAGCAAGGCCAUUCCCGCAGGAUGGAUCGUUGUGAGGAGUGUUAUCAGCCAUCGCUUCACGAGAGCCCAGGAAGGACGACAGAGUGAAGGAAAACAACACACGUACUCGCACUAAUAACUGCUACUAUAGAGAGGAAACCGCUGCCGCUACUACCACUUCAUCUAUCAGAUUUGGAGGAUUCGAACGUCUGCUUCCUGAGUACCACUUGCUUCGGAGCCCCACGCACGUAACACCUCCUUGCCCUGCUCUCAACUACCUCAGUUGUUUCAGGGAGUGUCCCCCACAGCCUGGUCGGUGUGGCCGGGUCUGCAGUCACACAUUCCUCUCUGCCAUCUCAGCCGGGAAGCAGAAGGCAAAAGAUGCUGAUAUGGAGAAUAUAUAGGAGUAAUCAUACAAACCAGCUGUAGCAUGACAAGAGAUGAACGAAGAGAGAACGCGUAAAUAGGUAGGGCGCUGCGAUCGACAAGGAAGAUGGACAUGCCACGUGCUUCAGUGACAGUGUUUAUCUCCCUUUCCUCGUGGUUGCUGUUCCCGUCACUCCAUUACAACCUCACGCACCUAAAAUUGCAGAUCCAAGAUGUGAGGGAGUGACUUGUUAUAAAGGCUUGAACUACAACCAUAUAGUUAAUGGUUACCUCCCAAACCAAGACAAGACCAAGUGACAUGGUGGACUCUUCCUGGUGGAUGACUACUCCAUUAAAGGAACCACUUCAUCUGGCACCUAAGGCAACAUGUGUUUGCACCCUUCCCUCACUCCCAGCUUCCCAGUCACUCACACUUGCCUCUCAGUAUUCUCUGUUCAUAUAUUCAUCAUAACUCAUUUUUUUUUUCAUAAAACAUUUUUAUUAGUGCCAUUGGACUCAAUAUAACUAUGCAACUUAGAUAUGGCCAUCUUAGCUCCAUGAACCAAAAUAUUGAAUUUAGAAGAUAAUAUCUGAAAUGUUUACAACUGGGUUUACUUGGUUUACCACAUAUCUUGUGCCAGAGUGUUGUACAACGACUGCAUUCCCAUGCCUUUAUCAGGCCAAGAAGGGCAGCUGUGAUUGAUUGGCCAGCAGAGUGAGCCAUCCCCUCUCCUGCACAGGCAUCUCUGCUCUACAGGUUUUACUUCUGUUUUAAUGUAGUUAACUUAUUACUUUAUGUACUUGACCUUUUCACCACUGGAGAAUGGUAAUGGAUUAGGUUUUGAAAAAUCAGUGACUUAAGAGAUAAGAUGUGAUUAGAAAAAAGUUUUAUAAAUGCUUUUAUUACCUUUAUAUUCUACAUUAUCUUUAAUGUGAUUGUAAGGUAAGGCAAUUCAGAAUUCCUGUAUGUAAUUAGAAUAAUUCCUCUUGAAUAUGACUGCACUAAAAAUUUGGAUAAUGUAGAAAAGAAUGGAAGAAGGCACCGUUUUGAGAUAUACUUGGUGGACAUCUGCCAUUCUUUAUUGUAAGGCAUGAACAACCAUGCCAUUCUUUAUUGUAAGGCAUGAACAACCACACAAUGCAGAAUGGCUGCUGUCCACUGUAUAUGUCACAAAAACUGUCUUCUUUCCUCUGUGUCUGCAUUAUCAAGAAUUUGAUCACACCAUCAUAUUCAGAAAAAUUCUUAUAUUACAUACAGCAAUUUUGAAUUGUAUUCUCUCUCUCUCUCUCUCUCUCUCUCUCUCUCUCUCUCUCUCUCUCUCUCUCUCUCUCUCUCUCUCUCUCUCUCUCUCUCUCUCUCUCUCUCUCUCUCUCUCUCUCUCUCUUUUGUUCCUUGAAUUUUUUUACUCUUGAUUUCUCAGCACAUUUGUGAUCCACCAUCAUUCUACUUCCCAAAUAAGUGACUUGUUAAGAGAACACAAAUAAGUGACUUGUUAAGAGAACACAAAUAAGUGACUUGUUAAGAGAACACAAGUUAAAUAGAGAGAAAGAGAGAGAGGUGGGAUGGUGAUAAAAUCAGGUAAUCUUGGGAGGGUAAACAGUCAUUUUUCUUUCUAAAGAAACUUUAUUGAUGUAAAAAUGUGAAUUGUACAAUUCAGCAACAUGUGGAAUUGAUUCAGCAAUCUAAUGGUCUAUAAUACAAACUAAGUGAGUAAUUAUUACUCUUAACAAAAAAAAGAAAUUAUAUAAGAGACUGGAAGAUGCAUUUCAAAGUUGGCAUGCAUGGCUGAUACCCUGGGUACAAGGUCUGGAGCAUUUUGAAUCUUCUGGGGCAAAUGGGUUAAUGGUUCAAAGUCUGCUGAAAAUAGUGAUGAUUAUACAAUGUGAUGAUGUUAUUUAAGCAUUUCAGAUGUUAUCUAGUAAAUUCUGUCACAUUGCCUUUAGAUUUUGGUUUGUCAAGAUAUAAAUUGCACAGCUUUGUUUUAUUAGUUACUGCAGAGGUUUAUUUUAUUAGUUACUGUAGAAUCCAGCAGCAUCAAACUGCUAGACUAGAGAGAAGUCCUGAUGACAUAUAUACAAAUGCAUAGAGCACUGAGGGAAAAAGCAUGAGUGACGUGUAAACCAAACAGGAGAGCUAUUGCCUAGGCACAAUAUGAAUGAAUUCCAAGUAGUGUUCAACAACAGCAGUACCUGGCUGUGGAGGGAAACAAUGCUGUGUAUGAGAGAUUUACACAAUGUAUUUGACCAGGGAAAUGAGAACACACCGUAUUUGACCAGGGAAAUGAGAACACACCUAUCACCACCACUACAGGUCCCCUACCUCCCUCUUUUUGGCAGAGCAGUCAUUAAUGUACUCCUAACAUUAUUGUCACUUCCCUUUAUUUUUAUAUAGUGUUCCAUGAGUGCUUAUUUUUUUUAUUCCAUGAGUGCUUUUAAUGCCAAGUUUCAUGUGUAAGGCUGUAUUCUGAAAUGCUCUGGUCUCACCACGACUGUUAAAAAACCACAAUGAUGAUUAGCUGGGUUUUUAAGUUUCUUCUGUUAAUAAUGUAAAUUAGUUGGGUUUUGAAGAUUCUUGUUAAUAGUGUAGGAAUUUGUUAAUCUGUCAAUUGAAUCAUAAUAAUGCUUAAAAACCUGUUUAACUCAGUCUUUUGAAUAUAGUGUAAGUGUGGUACAAGUGUUUCAGAAUAUGGUAUAGUAAUUAAACCUGAAUACAUGAGUAGUUGGUGAGGGGAAGAGUGUGGGCUACAGUGAUGGCCGUGCCAUCUUGGAGGGUGUUGAUGUUUACUUGAUUACACAUCAAGAUUUUUCAAGAUCUGAAGAGGUAAAGUUAAAUUCAUUGUAGCAAUUAAGAGCUAAAACAAACUCAAUAUGCAACAGCUAAAACAAACUCAAUAUGGCAACAGCAAUCAGUCAGGCAUUGCAGGAAGGGACUAUGUAGCCACUACCACUGAUGUGCAUUCUUAUUUAAAUGUCCUAAUACUUCUAAGCCAAAGCUUUAAAAGCAUUUUACCAUAGAAUGUUUGUCUUAGUAUUACUUAAUAUCUCAUUUCUGCAUGUGACUUUGCUCAUGGUACACUUCUGAAGAUAUCUUGGUUACUAAUGUUUUUAAAAGUAUUAACCCCUUGGAAAUUGUAAAAACAAUCGAACUUGUUUUUGAUGACUCGACUCAUGCCACAGGAAGUUUAAUACAUGAAAAUUUUUGAUGACUGAACUCAUGCCACAGGAGGUUUAAUGCAUGAAAAUUCAGAUGAGCAAGUUAUUUACAAUUGUGUUCAUGUUUUUUGAAAACUUAUGGGAAGAUUUAAAUAAGUGACAAUUUUAUGAAAAAUUUGGAAAGUGGGAAGAACAUUACAUAAACCCUAACCAAUUGCCACACAAAAAAAAAGGGAAGGAGAUAGUACACUAUUUAUAGUCUGCUGCUCUCUCUCUCUCUCUCUCUCUCUCUCUCUCUCUCUCUCUCUCUCUCUCUCUCUCUCUCUCUCUCUCUCUCUCUCUCUCUCUCUCUCUCUCUCUCUCUCUCUCUCAUUCCACAUGCCCACAGUGUCCCCCCACAGUAUGUUUACAAACCACAGUCACUCACCCCAGCUUCAUAUCACAUCAAGUUUCUGUAUUAUCUUUACCCCUAGCUCAGCAAUGAAAUUUCUAUAUUUACUCAAGGUCAAUAAUGUAGUGAGUGAUUAAAUAAAUUUU
Scylla paramamosain (green mud crab) is the source of this 4212-nucleotide long non-coding RNA. RefSeq lists it as uncharacterized. The transcript has 7 exons. The record is from RefSeq and is a predicted model, not a curated record. Lineage: Eukaryota; Metazoa; Arthropoda; Malacostraca; Decapoda; Portunidae.